This 460-nucleotide ribosomal RNA is filed under the name uncultured bacterium. Its description in RNAcentral is "partial 16S ribosomal RNA". It matches the Rfam family "Bacterial small subunit ribosomal RNA", at positions 338 to 795 of the family's 1533-position model. The record is from RNAcentral.
CCUACGGGAGGCAGCAGUGAGGAAUAUUGGUCAAUGGACGAGAGUCUGAACCAGCCAAGUAGCGUGAAGGAUGACUGCCCUAUGGGUUGUAAACUUCUUUUAUAAAGGAAUAAAACGAGGCACGUGUGCCUUUUUGCAUGUACUUUAUGAAUAAGGAUCGGCUAACUCCGUGCCAGCAGCCGCGGUAAUACGGAGGAUCCGAGCGUUAUCCGGAUUUAUUGGGUUUAAAGGGAGCGUAGAUGGGUUGUUAAGUCAGUUGUGAAAGUUUGCGGCUCAACCGUAAAAUUGCAAUUGAUACUGGCAGUCUUGAGUACAGUUGAGGUAGGCGGAAUGCGUGGUGUAGCGGUGAAAUGCUUAGAUAUCACGAAGAACCCCGAUUGCGAAGGCAGCUUACUAAACUGUGACUGACAUUGAUGCUCGAAAGUGUGGGUAUCGAACAGGAUUAGAUACCCUGGUAGUC